CUAACAAGGAUUCCCCUAGUAACUGCGAGUGAAGCGGGAAAAGCUCAAAUUUAAAAUCUGGUAGUCUUUGGCUGCCCGAGUUGUAAUCUAGAGAAGCGUUAUCCGCGCUGGACCGUGUAUAAGUCUCCUGGAAUGGAGCGUCAUAGAGGGUGAGAAUCCCGUCUUUAACACGGACUACCAGGGCUUUGUGAUGCGCUCUCAAAGAGUCGAGUUGUUUGGGAAUGCAGCUCUAAAUGGGUGGUAAAUUCCAUCUAAAGCUAAAUAUUGGCGAGAGACCGAUAGCGAACAAGUACCGUGAGGGAAAGAUGAAAAGAACUUUGGAAAGAGAGUUAAACAGUACGUGAAAUUGUUGAAAGGGAAACGCUUGAAGUCAGUCGCGUUGACCAGGGAUCAACCUUGCUUUUGCUUGGYGUACUUCCUGAUUAACGGGUCAGCAUCAAUUUUGAUCAGUGGAAAAAGGCAAAGGGAAUGUGGCAUCUCUGGAUGUGUUAUAGCCCUAGGUCGUAUACACUGGUUGGGAUUGAGGAACUCAGCACGCCGCAAGGCCGGGUUUUCAACCACGUUCGUGCUUAGGAUGCUGGCAUAAUGGCUUUAAUCGACCC
This 602-nucleotide ribosomal RNA is filed under the name Entoloma parasiticum. Its description in RNAcentral is "partial large subunit ribosomal RNA". It matches the Rfam family "Eukaryotic large subunit ribosomal RNA", at positions 65 to 650 of the family's 3401-position model. Lineage: Eukaryota; Fungi; Basidiomycota; Agaricomycetes; Agaricales; Entolomataceae. The record is from RNAcentral.